GCUAACUACGUGCCAGCAGCCGCGGUAAUACGUAGGGUGCGAGCGUUAAUCGGAAUUACUGGGCGUAAAGCGUGCGCAGGCGGUUUUGUAAGACAGAUGUGAAAUCCCCGGGCUUAACCUGGGAACUGCGUUUGUGACUGCAAGGCUAGAGUACGGCAGAGGGGGGUGGAAUUCCUGGUGUAGCAGUGAAAUGCGUAGAGAUCAGGAGGAACACCGAUGGCGAAGGCAGCCCCCUGGGCCUGUACUGACGCUCAUGCACGAAAGCGUGGGGAGCAAACAGGAUUAGAUACCCUGGUAGUCCACGCCCUAAACGAUGUCGACUAGUCGUUCGGAGCAGCAAUGCACUGAGUGACGCAGCUAACGCGUGAAGUCGACCGCCUGGGGAGUACGGCCGCAAGGUUAAAACUCAAAGGAAUU
RNAcentral lists this ribosomal RNA (417 nucleotides) under uncultured bacterium. Its description in RNAcentral is "bacterial SSU rRNA". It matches the Rfam family "Bacterial small subunit ribosomal RNA", at positions 496 to 911 of the family's 1533-position model. The record is from RNAcentral.